UACGUAGGGUGCGAGCGUUAAUCGGAAUUACUGGGCGUAAAGCGUGCGCAGGCGGUUUUGUAAGCCAGAUGUGAAAUCCCCGGGCUUAACCUGGGAAUGGCAUUUGGGACUGCAAGGCUGGAGUGUGGCAGAGGAGACUGGAAUUCCUGGUGUAGCAGUGAAAUGCGUAGAUAUCAGGAGGAACACCGAUGGCGAAGGCAGCUCGCUGGGACGGUACUGACGCUGAGACGCGAAAGCGUGGGGAGCAAACAGG
Molecule: ribosomal RNA, 253 nt
Filed under: uncultured bacterium
Lineage: Bacteria
Description: partial 16S ribosomal RNA
Rfam family: Bacterial small subunit ribosomal RNA
Source: RNAcentral